CGUAAAGACUAGUGUUAUUCAUCUUUAAUAGGUUUAAAGGGUACCUAGACGGUAUAAUUAGUCUUAAACAAGAAACGGUUAUGCUAGAGUUAUAUAUGAGAAGGGGAGUAUUUAUGGAGUAGAGUUGAAAUUCUUUGAUCCCAUGACGACUGGUAACGGCGAAAGCAACCUUUUAUCUAAUAACUGACGUUGAGGGACGAAGGCUCGGGUCACGACCAGGAUU
RNAcentral lists this ribosomal RNA (223 nucleotides) under uncultured bacterium. Its description in RNAcentral is "partial 16S ribosomal RNA". It matches the Rfam family "Bacterial small subunit ribosomal RNA", at positions 526 to 779 of the family's 1533-position model. The record is from RNAcentral.